GAUGAACGCUGGCGGCGUGCCUAAUACAUGCAAGUCGAGCGAACAGACGAGGAGCUUGCUCCUCUGACGUUAGCGGCGGACGGGUGAGUAACACGUGGAUAACCUACCUAUAAGACUGGGAUAACUUCGGGAAACCGGAGCUAAUACCGGAUAAUAUAUUGAACCGCAUGGUUCAAUAGUUAAAGACGGUUUUGCUGUCACUUAUAGAUGGAUCCGCGCCGCAUUAGCUAGUUGGUAAGGUAACGGCCUACCAAGGCAACGAUGCGUAGCCGACCUGAGAGGGUGAUCGGCCACACUGGAACUGAGACACGGUCCAGACUCCUACGGGAGGCAGCAGUAGGGAAUCUUCCGCAAUGGGCGAAAGCUUGACGGAGCAACGCCGCGUGAGUGAUGAAGGUCUUCGGAUCGUAAAACUCUGUUAUUAGGGAAGAACAAAUGUGUAAGUAACUAUGCACGUCUUGACGGUACCUAAUCAGAAAGCCACGGCUAACUACGUG
RNAcentral lists this ribosomal RNA (497 nucleotides) under uncultured bacterium. RNAcentral describes it as "partial 16S ribosomal RNA". It matches the Rfam family "Bacterial small subunit ribosomal RNA", at positions 28 to 507 of the family's 1533-position model. The record is from RNAcentral.